Molecule: transfer RNA, 72 nt
Filed under: Burkholderia pseudomallei
Lineage: Bacteria; Pseudomonadati; Pseudomonadota; Betaproteobacteria; Burkholderiales; Burkholderiaceae
Description: tRNA-OTHER
Source: RNAcentral
GCGGGUGUAACCCAAUGGUAGGGCAGAAUCCUCCAAGCUUACGACGAGGGUUCGAUCGCUUCACCCGCUCCA